RNA transcript from Leguminivora glycinivorella, 2629 nucleotides. It is a transcript of the gene named vesicle-associated membrane protein 2-like, with no coding region annotated. The transcript has 7 exons. The record is from RefSeq and is a predicted model, not a curated record. Lineage: Eukaryota; Metazoa; Arthropoda; Insecta; Lepidoptera; Tortricidae.
CAGCGCGCGCCUGAAAACCUCCGUUGAAAGCUCCCCACCUCCCGCCUACACUUGCAUACAAAAAUCAGCGGUUUCGGCACCACAAAUAAAUUUUUAAAGAAGACAAAGACAUGGCUGCUCCAGAAGGGGCACCCGGCAUGCCGCCGUCGGAGCCGCAGACGGGCCCCGACGGGGAGAUCAUCGGCGGCCCGCGGAACAUGCAGCAGGUGGCCGCGCAGCGCAGGCUGCAGCAGACGCAGGCGCAAGUUGACGAGGUGGUGGAUAUUAUGAAAACCAACGUCGAGAAAGUUCUGGAAAGGGACGCGAAAUUAUCAGAAUUAGAUGACAGAGCCGAUGCACUCCAGUACGGUGCGUCGCAGUUUGAACAACAGGCCAAGAGCUUAAAGAACAAAUUCUGGCUUCAAAAUCUAAAGAUGAUGAUAAUAAUGGGUGUGAUUGGAAUUGUCAUAAUAGGCUUGUUGUUUGGUGAUAACAUUAAACAAAUAUUUGGUUAGUUCGAUACCGCGGCACCCCGACUAUGACUGCCAUCCCAGCGGGUGUAUCGGACAUAGCCAGCAAUAUCACUAUGUCAGCUAAUACUAUUCAUUGAAAAUACAUGUAAGUUUCUUAUUCAACGCAUCUGUUGGGUUCUACUUAAACCGGGAAGCUGUCUCCAAAAUACAUGCUACGUAAAAACUAGGUACUUUAUAUUCUACUAUCUACUUGGUAAAUUAGGUAGCAACUUUAGAAUCUAGAAUACCUAAUAAUGGAACAAAAUGGGUAAAUAACAACGUUAUGAAAUACAUAUUAUAUACUUAGAUACUUAAAGAAGAAUACCAAAUACUUAAAGUGUUAACUUGAUGUUACCUAAAGUUGAACCACUUAAUGGGUCUAAGGUACUAAUUUCAUUUAAGUACCUAACCAUUGUAAAAUUUUAAUAUUUCUUAUUCUAUUAUUCGUUAAAAUGUAUGGGGUAAAAAGUAUAUCAAAGAAAUACUCAAAAUUCUGGUAAUAUUGUAUUAUAAUUUAUUUGCGUGCCUUGUUCUAGGAUACUAUCUAUGUACAAGUCCUAAAUAAGCGUAACAUUUAAGUUCUGGUUUGAGACCUCGCUGCGCGCUGUGACGCUGCUUUAAUUUUAACUCUAAAUCGGCCUAUGAAUGCUAGAAAAAAUGAAAAAUAAACUUAUAUUAGUGAGCGCGUUCUUCCAAUAGUAGUCGAACCUUUAUCGGUAUUAAAUAUAGCAUUCUUAUUAUAACCCACGUACUAAAACAGGAUAAAUAACAUAAAUAAUCACGAUAUUGGUUGUUUAUAAACAAAUGCAAUAAAAUACGAAAUGUAAAAUCGUGACACCAAAGUUAGCCGAAAUAGAAAUAAAUGGAAUUGAAUUAUUAAGUGAUAGGUGUAUAGAAUUAAGAUAUAUCUUGUUUAUUACAAAAUUGCAUAUCCGCUCUUUACUGAUUGGCAAAUGUAGUCGGAAUAUAAAAGUAGCUGAGGGAAAGAGAAUGCGAACCUGCGUGCCGUCAGAUUAUGGACUUAUGGAGCCUCUUGAAGUCAAUUAUUUGCAAAUGUAUAUGUUACACGUUAUUAAGGCUAUAUCAUUAUUUGCUAGUAUCAAUGUCAAUUAGGAAUUUAAUUUAAAAUCAAAGAAAUUCUGUACUUGAGGUACAUUCUUAAGCGAUGUCUAACAUAAAGUUAUUUUGAUUAAAAUGGACUGUAUUUAUAAUUUUUGUGUAAAUCGUAGGUGUAAUCUUAAAAAAAUUGCUUUUAUUUAUUCUUGUGCCUUCGAUUUUAUACGAACUAGAUAUUUUCACCCUUAUAUGAGUUAGACGAUCUUAGAAUUCGAUUGUCAGUUAGUUUCACAAUUAUUGUAGGACCUAGCUGUUAUUUAUUUUGAAAUAUUGAAUUAUAAAUUUAGAUGAAAAUUGUGAGUAUAGAUUAAUAAUAUGGUGCCAUUGACAAUAUUAGUUCUUUUAUAAUAACUGUGGAAUAAUGCGUGUUUCUACUGUAUCCAUAAAAUGGGAGAUUUUGUGGGUAUCUAUAACUUUUGACUUUUUGGUGUUGUGCAUAUCACAUAAUAUUAUAGAUAUUCCUUAAAUCUACUUUAUAUGCACUUAUGUUUAGCAGAUUAUUAUGAAUACAAUAGAGUUUACUCAAUUCGUUUUAAUGAUUAAAUCUUUAAAGAUACAUAUCUAGUGAUAUUCCUACUACCUAUGAAACUAAUGAAGAUCAUAUUUCUUACAAGCAGAUCGAUUCGUGGUGCCCCAAACUAAAUAUUGAACCUACAUUUUGUAAAUACAUACUCAAACUUUUUGACCUUCAUGUUGUUUUUCAUAACCAAAAUCAUAUCAAUAAAUAAAUUCAAGGUUUUAUAGAGUUAUACCUAUUUAUAUUACAAAUUUUGAUUCAACGAAUAGAAAUAAAAUACUUACAAUUUAAAUUUAUGAUGUUGUGAUUGUACAUAUUUAAUCUUGGACUUAUUUUUGGCCUGAAACACUAAAUUUUCAAGGGUGAAAACUGUUCUUAUUUUUUGAAUAUCUGCACAGCAAGGGCGUCGUUUGACGACAUUUUCAUAGGUGUUUAUUAUAUGUAAUAGAAUACAAAAAGUAAACAGUUUUAGGUUAUACAAUAAUGUGAUUAAAAUAAUUACAUA